Molecule: ribosomal RNA, 489 nt
Filed under: uncultured bacterium
Lineage: Bacteria
Description: partial 16S ribosomal RNA
Rfam family: Bacterial small subunit ribosomal RNA
Source: RNAcentral
AGUGAACGCUGGCGGCAGGCCUAAUACAUGCAAGUCGAACGGCAGCACAGUGGAGCUUGCUCCAUGGGUGGCGAGUGGCGGACGGGUGAGGAAUACAUGGGAAUCUGCCCAGUCGUGGGGGAUAACGUAGGGAAACUUACGCUAAUACCGCAUGCGCCCUUCGGGGGAAAGCCGGGGACCUUCGGGCCUGGCGCGAUUGGAUGAGCCCAUGUUCGAUUAGCUAGUUGGCGGGGUAAAGGCCCACCAAGGCGACGAUCGAUAGCUGGUCUGAGAGGAUGAUCAGCCACACUGGGACUGAGACACGGCCCAGACUCCUACGGGAGGUAGCAGUAGGGAAUAUUGGACAAUGGGCGCAAGCCUGAUCCAGCCAUGCCGCGUGAGUGAAGAAGGCCCUCGGGUUGCAAAGCGCUUUUGUCCGGGAAGAAAAGCAUCGGGCUAAUACCUCGGUGUUCUGACGGUACCGGAAGAAUAAGCACCGGCUAACUUCGU